RNAcentral lists this ribosomal RNA (276 nucleotides) under uncultured bacterium. Its description in RNAcentral is "partial 16S ribosomal RNA". It matches the Rfam family "Bacterial small subunit ribosomal RNA", at positions 499 to 771 of the family's 1533-position model. The record is from RNAcentral.
ACCUACGGGGGGCAGCAGCCGCGGUAAUACGUAGGGGGCAAGCGUUAUCCGGAUUUACUGGGUGUAAAGGGAGCGUCGGUGGCAUGGUAAGCCAGAAGUGAACACCCGGGGCUCAACCCCGCGGAUUGCUUUUGGAACUAUCAGGCUGGAGUGCUGGAGGGGUAAGCGGAAUUCCUAGUGUAGCGGUGAAAUGCGUAGAUAUUAGGAGGAACACCGGUGGCGAAGGCGGCUUACUGGACAGAAACUGACACUGAGGCUCGAAAGCGUGGGGAGCAA